RNAcentral lists this long non-coding RNA (2472 nucleotides) under Homo sapiens (human). RNAcentral's name for it is "HSALNT0156520". The record is from RNAcentral. Lineage: Eukaryota; Metazoa; Chordata; Mammalia; Primates; Hominidae.
CAGCAAGCCAGUGUGGGCUGGAGGACGUGCCUGCUUUCCAUUCGUCUUCCACCACGAUUCUAAGUUUCCUGAGGCCUCCCCAGCCAUGCCUCCUGGACAGCCUGCAGAACCGUGAGCCAGUUAAACCUCUUUUCUUUAUAAAUUACCCAGUCUCAGACUGUUCUUUGUAGCGGAGUGAGAACGGACUGAAACAGCACCUGAUCAGCCCUUAGGACAGUCAAGGUCAUCAAAGACAAGGAAAGUCUGAGAAACUGUGACAGCCAAAAGGAGCCUCAGGAGACACGAUGACUGAAUGUCCUGUUGCGACAUAGAUAAAGGUGUAUCAGUGCUGGCUCAUGAUUGCAACAAAGAGAGCCAGGAACGAUGCUAAAGCUUCCUGAUUCGUGACCCUGGCUAAGCAAAUGUAACGGCCCCAUUGACUCGCAGCCAUUGGAGAACUGAGCUUAAGAAUCUUUUGGCGGUCUGGAAACUUGGAAAAAGAAAGGGGCAACGUAUCCCACUUGAGCCAAGGCCAUACUUUCCCGGCUGCUCAGAAGACAUUUCUCUGUCUCCCCUGCUCUUCCCCAUCUUGAAUGUGGAUGUCCUGGCUGGGAACACAGCAGCCAACUCGUGAGUGUGGGUAACAAGCAGGGACAAAAGACCACCAGAGUCACAGAGACGCAGCUGCGGUGACACCGAGAUCCACUCGGCUCUCUUCUCUUCUGCGUCCUGCUCUAUGGCCUGGGAAGCUGAUCUCCAAGGAUCGCAUUCCUAGGGCUCUCUGGCCCAUGGGCUUCCCGUUGGGUUUGCCCAAUGGACAGCCAUGGCAGAAGAUCAAAGGGAAGAUGGCAGGAAGCUGUCCCCCACUCCUCGCCUGGCUGAGUUCUGGCGAUGGCUGCCAUCCAGGGUCCUGAGUCCCACCAGUUUUUACCCCUUGAAGUGAGAAAGAACACGUCUACAACCCUCCCUCAUUCCAGAGGCUGUGUUUUUGCCCUUUGGUCAUGCAGAUGGGGCUAAAGCGAAGUUACAACAUUGGAAAAUGUCUUCUUAACGUCACACUGAUCUCCUUAAGGCAACGAGCCCCACAUGCUCUCUGAGGCCUGUGCACGUGUUCUGAGGACCCAGUUAUGUGCUGCGUGAUUCCAGAGGUGAACAGACCCUCACAGAUCACCUCUCCUCACCCUCUCAUGAGAGGGAAACUGAGGCUCAGGGGGAGAAUUGGCAAAGGUUACACUUGGUGGUGGGUUUGGAAUCUGCCCUGUGGACGCCCGACUAACCAUUUCUGCCAGAUGCGCGUGGGAAGUAAAAUGGGAAGAGGUGCUCCAUAGGAGGAGGGGACGUGGGUACAGUCACGUGGACCCGUGAGCCGGUCACCUGCGAGGCACCAGGGCCUACAGGAAAGGUGCCCGCUGUCGGCUUCCGCAGGGAAUUUCGUUAUCUUUGUGAGGUAGGGUGGAACUUGCAUCCUGAACAUUAAAGUUUACAUGCCAAGGAGGGCGGUGGAGUCCUUGGAACUUCCUGCCUCCCCCUGAGGCUGCCUCCCCAUGCGAUUGACCUGGUCUGGCUGGGCCUGAUGCUGGGCUCAAAGAGAACACAGGUCUCACCCUCCUAUGUGGCGUGUGGUGAAGACUAAGGAGGUCCCCAGGACCCUGAGGGUUGCCCUUGGGUGCAUUGGAGUAGAGGCCAGGGAAGUCCAUGUCCUUUCCGAGCCAGGCCUUGCCGCCGAGGUACAGCCACAGUGUCCCCCUUCCAGCUGCAGAGCCGCUGCUUCCUCAUCUGUCAGGUGGGAACAACGACCCCCACUCUGUGCACCUCACUGGCAGUAGCGAGCACGAAGUGUGAGGGUGGACUCUGCAAGGUGGAAGCCAUGUCCCUGCAGGUUGCAUCUGUGCUGCCUGCCCUGCUGAGGGACGGGAACAGCAGCAUAGCCUUCGGUACCACGUACCUUGUUUGUCAAAACUGGACCUGCCACAGCGCGGUGGCCCUUCUCCUGGGGAAACACACUGUGCCCCAGGAGGUGUGUGGACAAACACCUUCACAGCACUGAUGCUGAGACAGCCAGAGCCCAGAAACGCCCAGCCGCCCCCGGUAGGAAAAUGAAUAAGUAAAUUGGGGCAAUUGGAGAUUGUGAUGUCUCUCUUGCUGAAGACCACCUGGCUGGAUUUGCUGGGGUGGGACCCAGACCGGGACGUUUUCAUACACACAAAACGGGCUGUGCCAGGUGGCCUUCUCCAGGGCACGGUGGGUGGGGGAGUCUCAGGCUGCCACGUGCCUGGCAGGCUUGGGACGAGGUGAAGGGAGGUGAGUGUUCGUGGGGAUGCUGGGACCCCAUUCGGGCCAGGUCAAUCACAUGGGGAGAUACAGUAUCAACAGUAAAGGAUCUUUAGAUAUGUAAACACACAGAUAAGUGGCCGGUGUAAUGUGCAGAAAAUGCUAAACAACAGAAUGCAAUAAUACAAAGUUCCAAAGCAGGCAACCCUAAACUCCAUGUUC